CAAUAUUCUACUUUAUCAACUUCUACUUUACCGACUCUAAAAAUUCUUCGUUCGAUCUCACUGUGGCACGGUUGUUCUCAUAUAUGAGACGGGUUGAUAGGAUAAAGUCACAAGUCUUGUUUUCGAUGUUUACCUUUCUGAGCACGCAAUUCACAUCGUAUUGAAAUGCAAAACACUUUAAAUCCAUCUGUUUUGAACAGUAGUGUGAUUCAAUGUGCUAUACACUUGAAUAUAUAGUGAAUGAUUUUCAACAUUUCAAAGUUUGAAACACCAGAAAUUAACGUGUAUAACACAUUGAACCAAGAUGAAAUACACUUAAAGUAAAUGUGAUUGUGCAUUUAAAAAAUCAAGUGUUUAAACACUUCGAACAAACGUGUGCAAUUUUUUGAGUGUAG
Molecule: long non-coding RNA, 395 nt
Organism: Ochlerotatus camptorhynchus
Lineage: Eukaryota; Metazoa; Arthropoda; Insecta; Diptera; Culicidae
Exons: 2
Source: RefSeq, a predicted model, not a curated record